AGUCAAUAGAUACCCAGGUAGUCCACGCAGUAAACGAUGAGUGCUAGUCAUUGGGGUCUUAGAUCUCGGUGGCGAAAGCUAACGCGUUAAGCACUCCGCCUGGGGAGUACGGCCGCAAGGCUAAAACUCAAAGGAAUUGACGGGGACCCGCACAAGCAGUGGAGCAUGUGGUUUAAUUCGAUGCUACGCGAAAAACCUUACCAGCUCUUGUAUCCUCACUACGAUUCCCAGAGAUGGGUUUCUUCACUUCGGGUGGGUGAGAGACAGGUGUUGCAUGGCUGUCGUCAGCUCGUGUCGUGAGAUGUUAGGUUAAGUCCUUCAACGAGCGC
This 329-nucleotide ribosomal RNA is filed under the name uncultured bacterium. RNAcentral describes it as "bacterial SSU rRNA". It matches the Rfam family "Bacterial small subunit ribosomal RNA", at positions 775 to 1099 of the family's 1533-position model. The record is from RNAcentral.